CUUGUCGGGUAAGUUCCGACCUGCACGAAUGGCGUAAUGAUGGCCAGGCUGUCUCCACCCGAGACUCAGUGAAAUUGAACUCGCUGUGAAGAUGCAGUGUACCCGCGGCAAGACGGAAAGACCCCGUGAACCUUUACUAUAGCUUGACACUGAACAUUGAGCCUUGAUGUGUAGGAUAGGUGGGAGGCUUUGAAGUGUGGACGCCAGUCUGCAUGGAGCCAACCUUGAAAUACCACCCUUUAACGUUUGAUGUUCUAACCUAGGCCCAUAAACUGGGUCGGGGACCGUGUCUGGUGGGUAGUUUGACUGGGGCGGUCUCCUCCUAAAGAGUAACGGAGGAGCACGAAGGUUGGCUAAGCAUGGUCGGACAUCAUGCGGUUAGUGCAAAGGCAUAAGCCAGCUUGACUGCGAGAGUGACGGCUCGAGCAGGUACGAAAGUAGGUCUUAGUGAUCCGGUGGUUCUGAAUGGAAGGGCCAUCGCUCAAC
Molecule: ribosomal RNA, 486 nt
Filed under: Staphylococcus epidermidis
Lineage: Bacteria; Bacillati; Bacillota; Bacilli; Caryophanales; Staphylococcaceae
Description: partial 23S ribosomal RNA
Rfam family: Bacterial large subunit ribosomal RNA
Source: RNAcentral